RNAcentral lists this ribosomal RNA (566 nucleotides) under uncultured bacterium. RNAcentral describes it as "bacterial SSU rRNA". It matches the Rfam family "Bacterial small subunit ribosomal RNA", at positions 335 to 916 of the family's 1533-position model. The record is from RNAcentral.
ACUCCUACGGGAGGCAGCAGCAAGGAAUUUUGGGCAAUGAGCGAAAGCUUGACCCAGCGACACCGCGUGAGGGAAUAAGGCCUUCGGGUCGUAAACCUCUUUUCUUGGGGAAGAAUCUUGACGGUACCCAAGGAAUAAGCCUCGGCAAACUACGUGCCAGCAGCCGCGGUAAUACGUAGGAGGCGAACGUUAUUCGGAUUUACUGGGCGUAAAGGGAGCGUAGGCGGUUCCUUAAGUCAGAUGUGAAAUCUUCUGACUUAAUCAGAAAACGGCAUUUGAUACUGAGGGACUUGAGAGCAGCAGAGGGAAAUGGAAUCUCCAGUGUAGCGGCGAAAUGCGUAGAUAUUGGAGAGAACACCAGUGGCGAAGGCGAUUUCCCAGGCUGUUUCUGACGCUGAGGCUCGAAAGCGUGGGGAGCGAAGCGGAUUAGAUACCCGCGUAGUCCACGCCCUAAACGGUGGACACUAGAUAUAGGAGGUAUCGACCCUUUCUGUGUCGAAGCUAACGCUUUAAGUGUCCCGCCUGGGGAGUACGGCCGCAAGGUUGAAACUCAAAGGAAUUGACGG